AUGUCCCUGUGCUUACUGUAAGUCGCUCUGGAUAAGAGCGUCUGCUAAAUGACUAAAUGUAAAUGUAAAUAUGUGUAUGACAGUACAAAAUUAGUACGCACCUACUUCCUAUUAUAACCAUUGCCUUCCUUGUUCAGUAGAUUGGACUGCAGCUUGGUCCACUACCAGAGGAUGACGCAUGCAUGUGUGUGUGAGUUCUCCCAGGUUCUCCUAAUGUUGUGAAGUCAAGAAGGAGCCUGACAACCCUGCGCUCCAAGAGCCCACACAAAGGGAUGAGGAAGGAGGCCACGAUUGGCAGGAACAGCAGGAGUGGGAGUGGCUCCAGGUCCAGAACACGCUCUCACUCGUUUUCCCGCUCUCCCCGCAGACAUUACAACAGCAGACGCAGUCGCCCACAGCUCCCGCUCUCGUUCCAACAGCCGCAGACCGUGACCGCGGCAACACCCCCCCAACCCUUUUUUAGUUUCAAUGUACAGUUAUGGACUAUGGAAAUGACAUUUACAGUGUAAAGAUGGUUUAAACUGCUGACGUAUUGUGAACUCUUUGAUUUAUAAAAGCCCUACUCAGUGGAAGAAGGAAUGAGUAUGUAUGUACAACAAUAAAAGGAUCAUUCAGGAACUACAUUUGUGCACAAA
Molecule: long non-coding RNA, 635 nt
Organism: Hypomesus transpacificus
Lineage: Eukaryota; Metazoa; Chordata; Actinopteri; Osmeriformes; Osmeridae
Exons: 3
Source: RefSeq, a predicted model, not a curated record